UACAACUUUCAACAACGGAUCUCUUGGCUCUCGCAUCGAUGAAGAACGCAGCGAAAUGCGAUACGUAAUGUGAAUUGCAGAAUUCAGUGAAUCAUCGAAUCUUGAACGCACCU
RNAcentral lists this ribosomal RNA (113 nucleotides) under Lactarius sp. 'Bremen H'. Its description in RNAcentral is "partial 5.8S ribosomal RNA". It matches the Rfam family "5.8S ribosomal RNA", at positions 1 to 111 of the family's 154-position model. From Rfam's summary of the family: 5.8S ribosomal RNA (5.8S rRNA) is a component of the large subunit of the eukaryotic ribosome. It is transcribed by RNA polymerase I as part of the 45S precursor that also contains 18S and 28S rRNA. Functionally, it is thought that 5.8S rRNA may be involved in ribosome translocation. The record is from RNAcentral. Lineage: Eukaryota; Fungi; Basidiomycota; Agaricomycetes; Russulales; Russulaceae.